AGGCAGCCUCCUUAGUGUGGUGUUAACUUUUUCUUAAAUUGAAAUUAGGAUCUUCAGAUAUUGUUGAUUGUUAACUUGAAAUUGGUCUAAUAAGCCCAACUACAAU
Molecule: small nucleolar RNA, 106 nt
Filed under: Olea europaea subsp. europaea
Lineage: Eukaryota; Viridiplantae; Streptophyta; Magnoliopsida; Lamiales; Oleaceae
Source: RNAcentral